AGUGAACGCUGGCGGUAGGCCUAACACAUGCAAGUCGAACGGCAGCACAGUAAGAGCUUGCUCUUACGGGUGGCGAGUGGCGGACGGGUGAGGAAUACAUCGGAAUCUACUUUUUCGUGGGGGAUAACGUAGGGAAACUUACGCUAAUACCGCAUACGACCUACGGGUGAAGGCAGGGGAUCUUCGGACCUUGCGCGACUGAAUGAGCCGAUGUCGGAUUAGCUAGUUGGCGGGGUAAAGGCACACCAAGGCGACGAUCCGUAGCUGGCCUGAGAGGAUGAUCAGCCACACUGGAACUGAGACACGGUCCAGACUCCUACGGGAGGCAGCAGUGGGGAAUAUUGGACAAUGGGCGCAAGCCUGAUCCAGCCAUACUGCGUGGGUGAAGAAGGCCUUCGGGUUGUAAAGCCCUUUUGUUGGGAAAGAAAAGCAGCAGGUUAAUACCCCGCUGUUCUGACGGUACCCAAAGAAUAAGCACCGGCUAACUUCGUG
RNAcentral lists this ribosomal RNA (492 nucleotides) under uncultured bacterium. Its description in RNAcentral is "partial 16S ribosomal RNA". It matches the Rfam family "Bacterial small subunit ribosomal RNA", at positions 29 to 507 of the family's 1533-position model. The record is from RNAcentral.